This 425-nucleotide ribosomal RNA is filed under the name uncultured bacterium. RNAcentral's name for it is "partial 16S ribosomal RNA". It matches the Rfam family "Bacterial small subunit ribosomal RNA", at positions 356 to 773 of the family's 1533-position model. The record is from RNAcentral.
GGGGAAUUUUGGACAAUGGGGGCAACCCUGAUCCAGCCAUGCCGCGUGAGUGAAGAAGGCCUUCGGGUUGUAAAGCUCUUUCGGCCGGGAAAAAAUCGCCUCUCCUAAUACGGGGGGUGGAUGAUGGUACCGGACUAAGAAGCACCGGCUAACUACGUGCCAGCAGCCGCGGUAAUACGUAGGGUGCGAGCGUUAAUCGGAAUUACUGGGCGUAAAGCGUGCGCAGGCGGUUUUUUAAGACAGGCGUGAAAUCCCCGGGCUUAACCUGGGAACUGCGCUUGUGACUGGAAGGCUAGAGUACGGCAGAGGGGGGUGGAAUUCCACGUGUAGCAGUGAAAUGCGUAGAGAUGUGGAGGAACACCGAUGGCGAAGGCAGCCCCCUGGGCCGAUACUGACGCUCAUGCACGAAAGCGUGGGGAGCAAAC